Molecule: ribosomal RNA, 468 nt
Filed under: uncultured bacterium
Lineage: Bacteria
Description: partial 16S ribosomal RNA
Rfam family: Bacterial small subunit ribosomal RNA
Source: RNAcentral
GACGAACGCUGGCGGCGUGCUUAACACAUGCAAGUCGAACGGAAAGGCCCUGCUUUUGUGGGGUGCUCGAGUGGCGAACGGGUGAGUAACACGUGAGUAACCUGCCCUUGACUUUGGGGUAACUUCAGGAAACUGGGGCUAAUACCGGAUAGGAGCUCCUGCUGCGUGGUGGGGGUUGGAAAGUUUCGGCGGUUGGGGAUGGACUCGCGGCUUAUCAGCUUGUUGGUGGGGUAGUGGCUUACCAAGGCUUUGACGGGUAGCCGGCCUGAGAGGGUGACCGGCCACAUUGGGACUGCGAUACGGCCCAGACUCCUACGGGAGGCAGAAGUGGGGAAUAUUGCACAAUGGGCGGAAGCCUGAUGCAGCAACGCCGCGUGCGGGAUGACGGCCUUCGGGUUGUAAACCGCUUUCGCCUGUGACGAAGCGUGAGUGACGGUAAUGGGUAAAGAAGCACCGGCUAACUACGUG